AUUCAAUUAGUCUAGAGAGGAUGAUGGUUUGUGGGGCCGUAGGAAUAUAACAAAUAUAUUGAAUU
Molecule: transfer RNA, 65 nt
Filed under: Trigoniophthalmus alternatus
Lineage: Eukaryota; Metazoa; Arthropoda; Insecta; Archaeognatha; Machilidae
Description: tRNA-His
Source: RNAcentral